GCCUUUGUGGUGUAAUGGUCAGCACACUGAGCCGGUAUUUCAGAGGUCCGCGGUUCGAUUCCCGGCGAAGGCC
RNAcentral lists this transfer RNA (73 nucleotides) under Stegodyphus mimosarum. It matches the Rfam family "tRNA". From Rfam's summary of the family: Transfer RNA (tRNA) molecules are approximately 80 nucleotides in length. Lineage: Eukaryota; Metazoa; Arthropoda; Arachnida; Araneae; Eresidae. The record is from Rfam by way of RNAcentral.